Molecule: long non-coding RNA, 10854 nt
Organism: Falco peregrinus (peregrine falcon)
Lineage: Eukaryota; Metazoa; Chordata; Aves; Falconiformes; Falconidae
Exons: 6
Source: RefSeq, a predicted model, not a curated record
GAAGGACUCGCAGGCUAAAACAGGCUUUACAUUAGGAAGCUCAAAAUCAGCAGUGAGGCAAGGACCUCAGCAAGCGGCUGGAUGAAGAUUGUUCUGAAGGAGAACUACAGUUUUCCAUUUGAGGUUUUACUGCACAAUGGAAGAUUCUUGCCUCUUCUACCUCAGAAAUGAAUGAAGCAAGUUCAGAAUGAAGUUCUUUUCCCUGCUGGGAGAAAUCAUUUUUUCUGUGGAACUCCAAAACGUGGAUUUUGGCCAGACUUCAUGAGACGAGGCUGACACUGACAGUGCCGCCGGCUCCUUCAAAGAGUUCGGUCGUUUCUUAGGUGCACUGGAAUGUUAUACAUCGCUACAAAACCCUGUACUGUGAGAAUAUCUUAUCAAAACCUAUCAGUAAAACCAAAGCAUUUCACAGAUUUCAGAGACUCCAACUUGGGAAAGAGAAUUCCUAGGAGGGUGUACGGAAGAGCUGUGCCAUGGGUGAGCAGCAAGACUGGUGCCUCUGGAAGGAGCUGGAGGCACUGCACAUCCCAGAGCAGCAGUGUGACACAUGCAGCACGUGCAGCAGUUACAUCCAAUACGUCUGGGGAGCACUGAACACCUGCAGUGGGGACACGGCAAUGGUGACAGACGUGCAGCAGCUCCGAUGCAUAUAAAAAAUCCUAGUCGCUGUGCAAACACUGUGCAGUUAAAGAAGGGUGGCUUCUCUCCAGUGUUCUUGAACAAAGCACGUGAUGGCGUUGUGCUGUGCAAGCAUGACUAAGGCCAGUACUUUCAGAACUGACGAGACUUAUUGGCGUGAAGGAUCUCUUUGCAGUCAGCAUACAUUGAACACAGACUUUGCAUCAUUUUCUUUAUGUGCAAGCGAGACAGAGCUGGACAGAGCUGUACUGCUGAACCCUUCAGGGCUGUUUAGAUCCUAGAAAUCUGGGAGAAACAGAGAAUAAACCUUAAGCCCAUCCAGAGAAGCAAGCAGAAAACUUUUUCUUUGUGUGCUUUUUUUUCUUCUCACCAGAAAGAAAACACUUCCUGAAGCAUUCAAACAGUAGCCCAACUAAAUUUUAAUACUUUUUUUUCCAGGAAAUUUUUUUUCUGAUAUCCAGAAGUGUUUUUUCAAAGUAGAAUCCAGGCUAAUGCAAGGACAGGAACUGUGGAUUUUGAAUAAUGGGGUAAUUGAAAUAAUCUGGGACACAAUGGGAGUCUGAUUCAGACAUAAGUAAUUGAAAGUUAGUGCUGGAGAGCACUUCCCUGUGCUUCAGGAAAGUUAAACAGCCAGGUGAAGCAUAGGUCUGAACAAGCGUUAACUCCUCUGCGGUGUGUCAGCUGAUGAGCAUCCUCCCUCCAGACCUCCUGGCUGUGUGUCCUGCCUUGCCCUUUUCACCACUAAAUCAGAGAAGAAUAAUCCAGUGUAAUUUGUUAAGCCAUUUUUCUGUAAAUCUCUCGUGCAUUGGCUAUAAUUCUAUCAUAAAUUCACAGAAGGAAAAAAAAAAAAAAAGAAACAAAGAAAAAACAAACCAAAAAACCCAAACAAACAACCCAGUGAGAGGCUGAUGGCUGAAAAAUCCAGAAGGGAAGUGGAGUGAAGAUGAGAAUGUGGAAAGCAUGGAGGUUACUUCAGGAGGAGACUGUGAAUGAAGGUGUUCAAAGGGCAACCUUAGUCAGCAGUAAUAGGAGUUAUUUAUAAAAAAAACCCACCCUACCAAACAUUAACAGAUCUAGUCACAUUCACGUGAGGGCAGAAGCAGGGAGUCAGGAGGUUAACUGGUGUGCACCCCUUGGCUCUUCUUACAUUUUGCAUGUAAACCAGUGCAUCUUGGCAGGAAGCCUACUGUUAGGAUUUUAAUUCAGCUGUGCCAGCAAGAGCAGCCGUUUCCAUACCCUGGUGCUGUUCAUCCCAGUUUCAAGGCUCAUAACCCUACUUACGUAAAUGAGCUUCAUCGGGUUCAUGCUGUCGGCGGUUAGACGUGGAGGCCCUGCUUCUUGGGCAACUGUUGUGCUGAAGGGACUCUUCAAAAAGUGUUGUCUUUCUGUAUCUCAUGAAAUGUAAUCUCGGAAGCAUGGUUUCAGCAAACUCAGGGCUGCUACGCUGCACACUGGCUCCCCUGCCCACGAUUUACAGCACAGACAAUUCAUUCACGAUUUACACAAGUCAAAUUACUAAUCAAAACCAUAAUGACUUAAAAACGGAGCAGUGCCUGAGGUGGCUGGAGGAGUGCUGGCUCGCUGCUGUGCAGUGCUUCCUGCCCGGGCAUGACACCAAGGGGCAUCGGCUGUCAGCGGGUGCUGGGGAGCUGGGGGGCUGCUGGGGGGGCACCUCCAAGGCAGCCAGGCUAGCACAGGACGCUUACACUAUAGCUUGUACUAACUCUUAAUUCAAAAAUUGUUGAAAGUCAAAUCUCCUCCUAGUUCUGAGUAUGAGCCAAUUUUUUUUCUAUGCGAACUUAAUCGUUUCUCGCUCGUGUUUAGAGUAGAUUGAGUUGAAGUUGUACUUUAACGUAAGUUAAAGUACUGAUGAUGCUUUUUCCCCUCCUCCUUUCUCUUUUUCCCAGUAGUAAAGGCUUGAGGCUGUCGGUCAGCAAGGGGACAGAGCUGCAGGCUCACGGGGAAGCAAGCUGCUCGCCCUUUCCACGCCUCGGCUGUGCGGGGUCAUAGUGCCUCGCUGCGUCCCGUGUUUUCUCAUCUCAGUGUAGCGCCUCUUGAAACUCUUCAGAAUAACAUCCAACAGAUUGGGAAACACUAAUCCAGUAAAUAAAAACCAGGUCACACCUCAAAAUCAUGUGCAAAUUCAAUGCAAGCUGCUUUCUAAAGUAAGAGGCUGUGAUAGUCUGUUAUUUGUGUAAUAGAGGUGUUUCCCUAAGUAAGAAUGGAUUCUAACCUGACAUUGAGUUAUAAUACGUGCAGUCACCACCGAGCAGGCGUGUAUUUUCUCUGUGUGGCUGGCAUUUGCAGAUGAACAAAACCUGCACCAGGGAAACGUUGCCAUCAGUACCCUAAAGCUUUUACUUCUCUGCAUUCAGCAACGGGCGUCACGCAGACCUAAAACUGGAGAAGUGCUUGGAACAGUUUUUGUUCCACUCUCUCCUCCUCUUUCUCAGAAAAUGCAAACGGUUAGGCAUUGAAGGUAUGUUUUGGAGAGGCUGCAUUUUGAUGCGUGAAACCUUUAGCUUGUCUUGGGUUUUUCCACUUUAUUUAUGAAGGCAAGGCAGAGCAGUAGUUUAAAGAUAAACAGGAUUAGAGACUGUCUACCCCAAAAACUGAUUUGCAGAGAUCUCUUCUGUAAUUCUGACUAGUAUUACUACAUACUAGAUAGGCUAUCAAAAACUGGCAUGAACAGAAGUUUGCUAAUCUAACAGAUUUUAUUAUAAAUUAAGAAAAAUUAAGAAAAAAAUAUUAUGCAAGGAUUUUUGUUUAAAGCAGUUUUUCAGAGGAGCAUAGUGUUUGCUCAGCAUGUUUACUGAGCCACCGAAAGCAGUUAAAUAUAGAUACCUAACUCUUCUUUGCAUAGAUACCUAAUUCUUUUUUCCUUUCCUCUUAUAAUACUUUACAAUUAAGCUCUUACUUUUGUCAGUUUUUCUAUUUCUUGAAUAUGGGAGCAACAGUAUCACAUGAUGAAAAAUAUGCCAAAGGAGAAACGGAGGGGUUGGGAAUGCAAUGGAAGUAUGGAUUUAUUUUUAAAAAGAGGAAAAAAAAAAAUUGGCAGAAGUUAUUGCACGUUCUUUGAGCACCGAGUACUCUGCACGUGUGUUUGUUUCCGCAGCCUUCAGGAGCCUGCCCGGCCGGGGCUGCCAGGGCGAAGGCUGUGCGGGGUCUCACCCCCCCCUGCACCCCGAUCCCCUGCAGGAGCCCAGAGAGUUUCGGAGGGCGAAAUGCAGAAGGUGGAAAGCUGCAGGCGGACAGGGACAGGCUCGGCCCUGACACGUGUAGGCACAGCUCCUGCUGGCUUGGCCAGGAGCUGCCUUCCAGUCAAAGCUGAACGAGGUCCAAAGUGUGGUGUAAGGCUGCGGCAGCGCUAGUGCAGACCUGCCGCGGGUAAGGUUAGGCUGCAAGACCGUGCUGAAGCUUUUCUGUCCUAGAAAACUGGGAGAAAGUGGGUUCUAGUUAAGUGGCCUUAGAAUAGUUCUUUAUUUUUGACAAUUGUUGGAUGUUUAUAGCGCUUCUUGUAUGAAAUAGCUGGGGUGUUAAAUCACAAAACAGUAGAACAAAGGGGGGGCGUAAAUUUAAACUGGUUAAAAGAAAGUGCUUUCCUUGUCCCAGUAAGAGAGUGUAGGGGCAGGCUGUAUCAGUUGGUCUGAUCGGGGAUUAGACAAAUGUGUGAUGACAGAUCCAUAAACGAACGGGAAUGGUUAGCAUGGGGGGAGUAUGCUAACUCAUGAUGCAGGAUUGUGACAGAAAUGUUGAAAAUAAUUCGCUCAACAACCAGGCAUAAGCCUACUGGAAAAGAGGUUUCGAUGAUCUUUCUGUUUAAAAUGAUGAAUUUUAGCUGGAAUUAUGAUAUGCACUGCAUUUCUUCCAGAAGAUGAGAUUGUAGUGGUACCACUGUAAUGUGAUAGGAAAAUGUCAUCUGAUUUCUUGCCUGCCCCCGCCACCUCCCAAGGCUUGUCAAAGCAUUAUAAAAACGUUUUCAUUUAUAGUGUGUAUUGAUAAGGAGUGCCAGAGAGUACUUGUGAUCUCAUUUUUUUCUGCUUUUCUUCACAUUUGGAAGCAAGUAUUUUUUAUUUGUUUACAAACUGCUGAGUUUAGUUCCACGUUGUUACAUAAAAAUUGGUAAAUCUGACUUGACACCUACAUUCAGUUAACCACAGGAAGUUUUUCACUCGGCAAACAUUGCAACAUUUGAAAUAUUCCUUCCUUCUUGGUAUUGAACCAAAAUUUUCUCGCAUUAAAUCUACUUUCAGUUACAUUUUCUUUAAAGGCAUCUUGUUGGCAGCUGUUACAUUAAGAAGAGAAAACAUUCAAUUCACUGCAAUUGAUCUAUAGUAAUAUCGAUUUACAAACCAAAUAACUUUCGGUUAGAGUGAAGCAAUCUCAGUUAUACAAGACAACCUUUCCAGGUGCAAGAUGUUUUCAAGUACAAAUCACCUGUAAUUUUACAAGACAAAGAGUAGAUUUUUAGAUAAUAGAUUUUUAGAUGGUAUCAGUGACUCCUAUAGAGAAACUGGUUAGAAAGUCUGCAAGAGGGGACGCAACCCUUGCAAUAAUUCUGCCUGGAUCACAGUGCUGGUCAGUGUGAGAAAGAGGUGGUUAGGCUAGAAGUCUUCAGUUCAGAAGAAAGGCAACUAGGGAUGUGACAGAGGUUACAAAACCGUUAGCGAGGUUAGAGAAAGACUAACGCUUCAGCACCUUCUAACACAAGAACUUCAGACACAUGGCAUGAGCCUGACAGAGUCAGGACAUGGACUUGAUGAGAUACGUGGUGGAGUUGUGAAGCUCAUUUCCAAAGGCUGUUACAGUGAGAGUGAAGUGAGUGCUUCAUGGAAUAGAAAUAUGCUGAGGACUGCAAAGUGUACGGAGCCACAUCUGACUCAGGAGGUUCCCUGAGAUGAAAAUAGUCACAGUUUGGAAGAGCAUUUGGAGAACGUGUUGUAUAUUUGUAAUUUGUGCCUUGCCCUUCCUCUUCCUUACCGUUUCAUAUGGCAAUGUCAAAGACAGUAUGCUAGUCUAGCUUUUGGUCUGACUUGAUUGAACUAAUCUCAGUUGUCUAAGUUAUGUCCUGAUUUGGUAAAUAAGAAAGGAUGUGACCUUGAAGUAGAUUCUUAGAAUGACUUUUUUUAUUAUUAUUAUUUUGGGGGUGGGGUGGGGUGGCUGCCAUGCAAAAAAGACUGCUGGACAUUUGAAGCAAAGAAAACAGAGUAAGGCUUCAAGUAGGUGUCACAUAGCUGGGUUGUAACCAUCUGUCUUUGUGCUUCUACUGACAGAUUCCAUGAUCAAGGACAUGGGCCCUGUGGACAGGCAGAGGAUAACUGCGUUUGCCCAGCAGGCACACAGCAGAAUUUGUCACUCGUCUGGUGAACAGACUUCAGUCAUGGGCUUAAGUCACUUUGUAGAAGUGACUCUGCUCCGUCCAGGUCUGUAUCGAGAAUCCCGUGGAAAGAAAUCGUAUAAAUGCAGGAGGCAAAGAAUUUUCUCUCCCAUCCUUCCCCAAAUGGGAAGCGGGCUCACUGCUCCAGGAAUGGCACAAGAGGGAUUAGAAAGGGCAUGGAAGCAGGUCUGGAUUUGGAAGCAGCACCGCUUUGAAUGGUUGCUGCUUUUUGGGCUAAUUAGGGACAGCAACUGACUGACAUAGUUCAUUUGUGGAAAGAAAAGGGGUUGAGCAAGGUAAUUAGGAAAUGCUGGCCUAGGCAGGUCUCUGCGAUAGCAGCAAAGAGGAAAAACUACUUUGCCCUUCACUUGGCAGCCGACAGCACUGCUGCACUGACGCAGCUGUUAAGGAUAAAUGACUAUUACAUUUUUUUACCACUAACUUGACUCUUCCAAGAAACCUGGAAAAAGCAAAAUUAGCACAUUACCAUGAUAUUUUGGGGCCUCCUACUCUAUUGAAGCAAAGAUUAUUGACUCAGUUUCCAUCUGGACUGGACUCUCAAGUGGAGUGCGUAGGGAUACUGGUAGGACAGUACUUCUGCAGUACGUCCCUGUUUGAAACUUUUUACCUGACUGAGAUGCUUGGGCAUGCCAAAAAAAGGCUUUUUUUUUUUUUUUUUUUUUCCUUGGCAGAAGUUGCUGGCCUAUGUUUAAAAGAACUAUUCUGGAGCUUGGAAUUUUAAUUAUUUUGAAUCAAGUUUCGGUUAAAUUAUUGCUAUUAAAUAAAGUAUUCGUUUUCUGGAAAAGACAUUAACUGGCUGGGAAUAAUCCUGCUAGACAGUCUAUUUACUUCAGUCUAAAUCUGUUGCUGCUAGGCUUUGGCUUUUUUUUCCUAAUACUAGGAGGAGGGGUACAUAAAUCAAAAUUUUAUUCUGAACUAAUUGCCUUGUUCUGAAUCGCAUAAAACGUUUGAUCUUUUUCAUUAUAAUAUUUCAUGACAGAAGGAUCAUUAAUAUUGGAGAUAAUCUGAAAUGCAAAAGUAUUUGUUGCACUGUAGAUGGAAGCUUCUCUUUGCACACGAUUUUACUUUCCUUGUUUCACAGCUAAAACUAGUAUGUUGUAGACUGGAUAUGAUGUAGCAGCAAUAUGGCCACAAGUGAUGCUACGUUGCACCCCAUUUGACUGAAGAAAUAGAGAAUUAAGGUAGCUUCAGCCCCAUCAUCUCUAAUAAAUGUUAUUUAUAUCUGUUCUUUGAAUUUCCACAGGCCUUUUCACUUCACACUAGCUCUGUUUGCUUCUCGGGAUGGAAAGUCUGUCUGAAUUAGGUGCAGUCCCCUGAAACCACAGGCUCCCCUGUAGGAGAAACUGUCAAGGAGGAUUCCCCAGGACUUGCACUUUCUGUUUAAUUCCUACAGGCCACAAAAAUCUCCAUUACCUUGAAACAACACAUAACCAUUUGUACAAAAGAACCGAAUUACCAAAGUCUGCAGUGUGUGACAGGAAGGGCACCACCACGUCUCCACUCCUUCAGGAGUUUAUGGUGCAAUACAUUAUGAUUUUUUUUCACUAAAGAAACACUAAAGUUUAUAGCAGUAUUUCUAGCCCUACCCAGAAUGUGAAAUGAGUGGAGUUCCCAGAAUCCUAUUAGAAUUUGUAUCCAGGUUCUGGAUGUCUCUCCCUAUUUUUCCAAAAAUAUCUCUUAAUUUCUUAAACACAAUGUUCUUAACUGAGUUGAGAAGAUUAUUCAAUAUAAUCCUUUUCUUAUGGUCUUUCAGGCACUACAAAGUUACUUGCUUUAGGGCUGGAUGACUGGUGAGGCUAAGGUGUGGUUUGCAGUUGGGAUUCUUUCAUUUUUUAUUUUCCUUCUUGAGAAUCUGCCUAGGUUUCUUAUGCAAAAGUUUUAUUUUUCAUUUUUACUGUAGAUACUGAGCCUCAGUAAAUUUUUUUUUUUUCAGAGGCUGCAUAGAGAGGUAGAAUACAGUAUAAUCAUCUCAUGCACGUUAGCGUAACUACAUGCAUGUGAAAAGUGACGGGGGAAGUGCAAAGGGAAAGAGAAAGGAGCUGACUUGAAGGUGGUAGGAAUUGGUAAAUCGGUCAAAGCAGCACUGUACACGUAAGCAUUCUGCUUGUAAAUUAAUGCUGCUCUAGCUUAUAUUUAUUUUGGUAUGUGUGUGAAAACAACUCAAAGAUCAGAAAGUUACAGAAGUAGUUCAAUAAAUGACUAAGAUACCGUGUUGGAUAUUGAAGGAAAAUUGCCUCCUCUCCUAAAAUGUCAACUGUAGGGUGAUAUGAAAUUACUACAGUCUUUACAAAACUGCAUAUAAGUUUUCAAGAUAAGUUUGUGGGGUUUGUUUUUUUGGUUUGGGUUUCUUUUUUUUUCUGUGUGGUGAAAACAGGAUAUCCUGAUCCAGCAGAAAUGAAACAGGCCAAAUGUGAAUUUUAUUAGCCACCAGGUUUUGUCUUGAAAAGAAUACAAGGGCUAAGAAAAAUUAACCAGAGACAUCUGCAUUUAAUUGAAAUUUAUGACAGCAAAAUGGUCUCUUAUAUUACAGCAGAUAGUUAAAAAUAAAUUCCUUUUUAUCACCCUAUGUUUGAAUUGAACGUGCUCAGAGCCAUUACAAAUGCAUUCUUGGAAAUGAGGGGUGACUGGGUGACAGUUUUCUUGUAAUCAUGGCUAAUUUUUUUUCUAGUGAAUGUGAUUAAAAGACUUCCAGGUAUUGUGCAGCAUCACCUGUUCCUCAACAAAAAGCAGCACUUCUGCCUUGCUGGAGAUUUCAAACAAUUAUGCAGCCAUACAAACUGCUUAUCUACGAGCUCAACAGAAUGCGCUGAAAUUUUAAUAAUGCAUAAUAAAAGGAAAAUUCUGCCCCCUUCAUAAUAUUACCAAGCUAUUUGUCUCCAGGUAAGUUUACCAAACCCUAAGUCAUCCUGUGCACAGACUGGCCAUAAAAAUAAAUUACACAAGUUACAACAGAACCCUUCGUGUUGUGUCAGCGUAGCCUCUCUGUAGCUUAGGCCUUAGCCUUCCCUCCCAUUUGCCUUGGACUUCCAAGUAGUUUGUAUAUAUUUUGUAAGUGACUUCCAACUGUACUCCUAAGAAAAACUGAGUGAUUUGAUGAUUUGACAUAUCAAGGUUCUUUAAUAAGUUUUGUUUAAAUUUCUAAAGCUCAUCUGUAUGAGAAGUGUGGCUAUAAAAGAAAACUAUUCUGCUGAAGUUGUUUAAAAACAAAAAAAAAGGUGGAAAUAUUUCUAAAAAUGUUGCUGCUUUUACAAGCAUACUUUACAUACACUUAAUGUUUAAUCACGUCCAUACAACAGUUAUGGUGUGACUCAGCACAGGUGUAUGUUUCCUGACUGAUAAUACUUGUCAUCUACCUGCCCUACAGACGCUGGGUGUUCAAUGUGCCACUGUAAUACAACAUGAGAGAGUACAACAACAAUCAAACAAAUAACUUAUCAAAGCAAAAUUUAGGUUCUAAGGAUUCAAAACAUGAAAUCGACUGGGCCCAAAGAUACCCUUGAUCAGUUCAAGAAUUAUUCCUGUAGUUCUGCGAUCUGCUUCAAAACCUGUAUGUACGAAUCAGAUUUGAGACCGUGGCACAAGAAAUACUUAGAAGCAGAUGAUACACAUAUAAAAAUUGCCAUUGUAAAGUUUGAGAAGAUGAGCAAGUUUGCUGGCCAGUGGGUUGAUCGGUGAUCUUCUGAAAUAAGAGCUUUUAGUUUCUUUUCCCAGCUUUGAUGUGCACUAACUUUGUUAUGUUUUGAAUUUCAGCUUUGUAAAGUGCUUUCAACUUAAUAGUAAGGUGUUAUUUGUGGUUGCAUCCAUUACAAGGCGGGUACUUUCCAAACACUUAAGAAAUUCAUAAUUCAAGUGAUAAAGGAAGGAAACAGAAAAAAUUAUGAUUAAGCCAGAUCUAAGUAACACAAAUAACACACCAAGGGAAGGUCUUUAAGGAAAAUGGGGCUUGCUGACGAGACAUGGGUGACUCCAUAAGCUUGCAGUGAGAAAGUGAGUAUGAGAGCAUGGAGAUGAAGGGCAAUACACAAGGAUUCCUCACUGAAAGUGUUGGUGUCAGCUUGGCUUCAUGUGUGGCCAAACACAUCUACGUUUCAGCUCUGUACUGGCUCAAAGGAGAAAGAGGGAAUCCCAUCUGUGUCAUCUUUCUUUCCCUCCUUCCAUGGCUGACGAGCAGACCCUAGCAGUGCCUAGUGCUCUUGUCCAGGACAGGGCACUGUAGUCUGAACUGGCGGUGGGUGCUGCAAGAAGCCAAUGGAGAAGGACGCCCUGGGAGGAGGGGGAACGCUAGGUGCCGUAAUGGACACCUAGGGCUUCAACACGAAUGGAUCGCUCAUGGCAAAUCCCUCUGUCUAGUGGUGAGAACAAAGGGAUCACUUUCCAAAUGCAAGGAUUCUCUGUAAUUCUGUCAGGCAGCAUGUGACCUGUAAUUAUGUCCCUAUGAUGUUCUAUUAAUUUACACUCCUGCUUUAUUUUGCUUGUGUUCAAGCAGAUCCAUAUUAUGAUGCAAAUUUACCAGCAGAAUGAAGGCCAAGCUUCAAAUCUAGAUUCAUUAAUAAAAUACAAGCUUCCUGAAGACCAAACCUUUGCAGUUUUUCUGGGUGCAAAGUUAGGUUUCAUUUACCUGCGUGAGAAGUUUACCCCUGUACCUCUCUUCUAGAGUAGCUUCCCACUGAAUACAGUUCCCAGCGUAAGCAUGGUUCCGAUACAAACCUGCUGCUGCCAGUACGAGCUAUGUUGCAUCUAACACAUUGACUAUUGCUUCAAGUUUCUAAGUAUAGACCAUAUGGCUAUUUCCAAAUAAAAUAAACAUGAUGUUGGUC